RNAcentral lists this long non-coding RNA (1836 nucleotides) under Marmota monax (woodchuck). Lineage: Eukaryota; Metazoa; Chordata; Mammalia; Rodentia; Sciuridae. The record is from RNAcentral.
GUAAGCAUUAGAUGUAUCUAUGUUGGGCUGAAAUCCAUUUCCUCAUCUGUCACCAAGAGCAAUCUAGAGCUUGACAGAGCAAAGCCAUUCUGUGUUCCAAGUUCCAUGUUCCUUUGGGCAGCUCUGGAAGCAACACCAGUUACUCAGUCCCAGAUUCCUAAUAACAUUGAGACACAGAUUUCUCUGGUUUCACAAGUUAAUUAGCUAAAGUCAGGGUCUGUAACUAACUAGUUGAGAUAACUUGGGAAGGUUAUAGAACCUCUUUGAAUAUCAGGAUCCACAUCCUUGAACUGAGUUACAGCAAAAGAAUUUGGGUUUCAAGUGCCUGCCCUCUCAGUAGCUUAACUUUAAUGAACCUCAGUCUGUUAAUCCACAAAUGAGGACUAAAGUACCUGCCCUCAAUUCGUCAUAGGAUUGAUGAGAACAAAUGCGACAGUGUUUGUAAAAGUGAUUUGUCGCCUGUUACCGAUGUUGCUGCUGCUGCCAUUCUUAAGGGCCUGGCAGGAGGUUCUCUUUCUAGACUGGGUUAAGACAGGAAAUACAUUAAAAAAACAAAAUAAAACCACUUUUGCUCCAAGUCACCCUAAACAACUAGGAAGUGUUUGGGAUAUGAAUGCGUAGGAAAACCAGGAGGGGUUAUUCAAAAAAUUAUUUUCCUAAUCUAUGGCUCAAGUUCUGAGUUUUAGCCAGCUUCUAGAGGUGUCUGGGAAAGAGCCAAGUUCAGCUCUUAGAAGAUCAAAUUGGGGAGAAGUGCAUGUAUUGUUCUGGAAUAAAUUAAGCAAAACACAGGAUGACAACCAUUCUUUUGAUCCCUUCCUCUGUCCAAGUCAAGAACUAGCUCCUCUUGACUUUAGAGACUUUAAGAAAAAAGUGGACACAAAAGAGUUCUUUUGUAAAGAAUCACAAGAAAAUAAAAUGCUGGGUGUGUUCUUUCCUGGCCACCUCUCCUCUUCAUACCUCUUUCUUGUAGCAUUAAACAGAACAACAGAACUCUGUAUGCAACUCACAGAUGAAACCAUUACAGAACUAGGAAGGUAUUUCCCUCCCGGAUGUGGACCUGAGACUCCACAGGUAUGGCCCAGGGCUACUUCUCAGCAGCACCAAUGGUCAGUGGGGCUCCUCAUAGAUCCAUGCACACCCAUUCCAUUCCUGGGGUAUGCCAGGUGAGUUAUGACCUUCCUGGUUCUCAUGAUGUCCUGUUUUUGUCUAAGAGUGUCCUGUGGCCCUUUCAACCAGUCUAACACAAAGAGAAUGGGGCUGCUUUCAGGAGCCCGAGGGUCUGGCGUCUGUGCUGCUUACACAUGAGCAAUUUUAGUAUCCAGAGAUUCACAUCAGGAGCUAAUUAAAGACAAUCCUAAAUUAUUUAUCUGGGUUAGAUUUCUGUUCACGCUUCUUCAGAAUAAAAAUUCUAUUUCCCUGAUAUUAUCAUAAACCAUCUUAAUGAAUCACAAAUGUUUGUUUUUGUGCCUCUCUGUUAAUUUUUGUUUUGGCUCUGACCUUGGUUUAUAAAAGAGCAAGCUUCAAGAUUUCUACAGUCCUUGCUACCACCAAGUGUAAUCAGCUGAGAAAAUGUUUUGUAGCACUGGUAAAACCAUCUGAUAAUGGCCUGAAUUUAUAUUUAGGGAUAACAGAAUAGGGACUUUGAAGCCUUAUCAUUGAAAAACACUCAAAAGCAAGCAAAAUAUAAAAUACACAUAAUUUUUAAAAGAUCAAGUUACCCAUAAUUAGAGUACUGGUUCUCAAGCUUUUGUAUUUUUCUGUUACCUCAGUAGGUCCUUGGUGUAGCCAUUCCAACUCUGGUUUUUGUUUCUGUUUUUGUGGCACGGAGGAUUGAAU